ACUCCUACGGGAGGCAGCAGUGGGCCCUUUUAAGCAAUGGACGAAAGUCUGACGGAGCAACGCCGCGUGUAUUACGAAGGCCUUCGGGUUGUAAAGUACUGUCUUCAGGGACGAAUGGUAUCGAUGUGAAUAAUGUGGAUACAUGACGGUACCUGAGGAGGAAGCCCCGGCUAACUACGUGCCAGCAGCCGCGGUAAUACGUAGGGGGCAAGCGUUGUCCGGAAUCAUUGGGCGUAAAGGGCGCGUAGGCGGAUACUUAAGUCUGGUGUGAAAACCUAG
This 279-nucleotide ribosomal RNA is filed under the name Desulfitobacterium enrichment culture. RNAcentral's name for it is "partial 16S ribosomal RNA". It matches the Rfam family "Bacterial small subunit ribosomal RNA", at positions 335 to 605 of the family's 1533-position model. The record is from RNAcentral. Lineage: Bacteria; Bacillati; Bacillota; Clostridia; Eubacteriales; Desulfitobacteriaceae.